CAGGAAGGGGAACAGCCUGGCUGUCAUUUCCCCAGGGCUGAGGCUGGGGCAGGCAAUGGGCUUUGCAGAUGUUUCUGGACACAUAGGAGGCUUCACCUGAUGCAUACACUGCUGUCUUCCUGGCCUCAUACCUGCCUUGUGCCCUUCGACAGUUCCCUGCUGGAGGGGUCGACCUCAUCGCCACAGAAGCUCCGAACGCCAUUGCAUCCUACAACUCGGGCUUCCUGCAGCCUGGACGCGUCGCAAGCGCUUCUCUUUUUCCGGACUCGACGCCAAAGCACAGGCCUCUCGAGACGCUCGAUACGAUCCACACGGUGUGUACUGGACCUGUGUGAUGUCCUGUGCAGUGGAGGGACAGUGACGGUCCCCGCAGCCGGUAUAGCAAAGGGCUGGAGACGGGCCCAGGGCUGGAGACGUGCGCAGCGCUGGCGACCGAUGCUGGGCUGGAGACAUGCGCAGGGCUGGAGACGUGACAUGGACCCCAACAAACAUGGACAGGGACAGCGUAUGCCUGGCCCUGAGAACUAACGGCAGAUUGAAACUGAAGGCCUAUAGACAGACCCAGGACAAUAAACACCCCAGUGAACAGGUGCGUGCCAGGUGCCAGGGGAUACACGGGUUUCUCCGUGGGUCUUCAGCUGGAGCAGGAGUGGAAAUUGGAAUCACCUGGGACACAAGAACCCACUUCUCCAAGGUCCGGCUCUGUCUUCAGUGCAAACCAAGUAGGCAAGUCGAGUGGGAGUGGAAGACACCAUUGCCUUGUGUCUUUCCGAGUUCUUGGUGGUGUAUGAAUCUGGGCAGUCUCUCCAAGAGUGAGAGUUACUUUUGUUUCACUGUUUUGGUAGGGAGAGGCAUUUCCAGCACCUUCCACCUGGCCUUUCCUUCACCGAAUCUCUUAUUCCACACAUCAGAAAACCAGUGUCCGCUGUUGAGGAUGUCUCUUCAGUCUAAGGAUUCCAGAAAUUAGAGAAAUAACCACAAGGGUGGGUCCGGGAAACCACCUAUCACACCUCCUCCUUAUGUCUCCACUCUCCCUGGUCCACUAAGAUGGCCGUGGUUUGGGGUCUCCAGAAGUAGUUGAGUAUUUAACAAAAUGGUAAGAUCAACAAAGCAUGUUUUAGUAAAAAAAAAAAAAAAAAAAAGUCCGCAGGAGACGACAGAUUACUAUUUUACCAAUAAAGAAGGCAAUGGCACUGUUUUUAAAUGAGGAGAGAGGAAAUGCUGAAAAUGCACAGGGAAUAGUGACUCUGUCCAUCCUCAGCUUCCUCCAGACUUUCCAGAACCUGAAUGUGCGUGAGGCACUGCGCAUACAUCUUCCUCCUCUCUGGAGAAGCAGACUAUCGGAAAGAACUCCUCGUCCCCAUCUCUCCUGCUCAGAAAUUCCCACUCUGUGACUUCCCAUUUCAGAGUGGAUGCCAGAUCUGAAUCUGUCUCUCUUGGUGUCCUCACUCCCAUCUCCCCUGAAUUCCCACCCAGAGCUCCCCCUUCACCCACAGGUCCAACAUCAUUUCACCUGGUGUCUAGGACCUUCAUGGAAGUGACUAAUUUUGCAUUUCAAACGGAUUUUAUGCUAUUUACACAUUCAGUGUCUCUCCCUGCCUCAUAAGUAAUUGUCCCUGAGAGGGAAGGUGAUGUAUCUGAGAAUUUGUUAUAACGAUUCUGUAAGCAAGCGAAAGGCGUUGAGCAAUAAGUUGCCCCAUGGAAUUCUAAGCCGUUAUCUUCUCAUUGCUAAAUCGUGUAAGACAAUAAAUGAACACUUACACAGCAAAUAACUACAUUAUUAAUGAUUGGUUAAUAACUGCUUCGUUGACCACCAAUGCUUAAUGUAAGGCUAUUUAUUAAUGAGUAGUAAAUUGAUAAUGCACCCCUGAGAAGAUAAUUUGAGGGGAAUUUUAAAGCGGAAUUUGAGGCUCGUUCUAAAAGUACAAAAUGAUAUCAUAAAAAUAUGACUCACUUUCCUUC
Ailuropoda melanoleuca (giant panda) is the source of this 1962-nucleotide long non-coding RNA. RefSeq lists it as uncharacterized. The transcript is spliced from 3 exons. Lineage: Eukaryota; Metazoa; Chordata; Mammalia; Carnivora; Ursidae. The record is from RefSeq and is a predicted model, not a curated record.